This 253-nucleotide ribosomal RNA is filed under the name uncultured bacterium. RNAcentral's name for it is "partial 16S ribosomal RNA". It matches the Rfam family "Bacterial small subunit ribosomal RNA", at positions 524 to 776 of the family's 1533-position model. The record is from RNAcentral.
CACGUAGGAGGCGAGCGUUGUCCGGAAUCAUUGGGCGUAAAGAGCGCGCAGGCGGCUUGGCAAGUCGGGUGUGAAAUCCCGAGGCUCAACCUCGGGCCUGCAGUGGGUACGGGCAGACUGGAGUGCGGUAGGGGAGAAUGGAAUUCCUGGUGUAGCGGUGGAAUGCGCAGAUAUCAGGAGGAACACCGAUGGCGAAGGCAGUUCUCUGGGCCGUAACUGACGCUGAGGAGCGAAAGCGUGGGGAGCGAACAGG